UUCCUGGCAGUCCAGUGGUUAGGACUUGGCACUUUCACUGCCAAGGGCUGGGUUCAAUCCCUGGUCAGAGAA
This is a transfer RNA of Ovis aries (sheep), 72 nucleotides long. It matches the Rfam family "tRNA". From Rfam's summary of the family: Transfer RNA (tRNA) molecules are approximately 80 nucleotides in length. Their secondary structure includes four short double-helical elements and three loops (D, anti-codon, and T loops). Lineage: Eukaryota; Metazoa; Chordata; Mammalia; Artiodactyla; Bovidae. The record is from Rfam.